UCUCCAGCUCACUCCCAACCCCUGUGACAUACCUUAAUGUUGCCUCGGCGGAUCAGCCCGCGCCCCGUAAAACGGGACGGCCCGCCAGAGGACCCAAACUCUAAUGUUUCUUAUUGUAACUUCUGAGUAAAACAAACAAAUAAAUCAAAACUUUCAACAACGGAUCUCUUGGUUCUGGCAUCGAUGAAGAACGCAGCAAAAUGCGAUAAGUAAUGUGAAUUGCAGAAUUCAGUGAAUCAUCGAAUCUUUGAACGCACAUUGCGCCCGCUGGUAUUCCGGCGGGCAUGCCUGUUCGAGCGUCAUUUCAACCCUCAAGCCCCCGGGUUUGGUGUUGGGGAUCGGCUCUGCCUUCUGGCGGUGCCGCCCCCGAAAUACAUUGGCGGUCUCGCUGCAGCCUCCAUUGCGUAGUAGCUAACACCUCGCAACUGGAACGCGGCGCGGCCAUGCCGUAAAACCCCAACUUCUGAAUGUUGACCUCGGAUCAGGUAGGAAUACCCGCUGAACUUAAGCAUAUCAAUAAGCCGGAGGAAAUUUAUAUCUCCCA
Molecule: ribosomal RNA, 544 nt
Filed under: Fusarium tricinctum
Lineage: Eukaryota; Fungi; Ascomycota; Sordariomycetes; Hypocreales; Nectriaceae
Description: eukaryotic LSU rRNA
Rfam family: 5.8S ribosomal RNA (bases 149-302)
Source: RNAcentral